GAUGAUUAUAAUGGUAAAAUUGAAUACAUAUUUUUGGUUUGUUCAUAAGAGGGUUAUUGUAAUUUCACUAGGCUUUUGGAUUACUUUUGCAUUUGAUUGAAUUUGAGCUACACUUUUGUAUUCAAAAUCAUGUUUUGCGAUUCCGUACGGGCCUUUUUUUGCUUUUGGAUGGGCUUCAGUCCGUUCGUCACGGCCCUGCUAAACCUGAUCGUCUCCUUUGUUCAUCUGAUUUUGACUUGGGCGGGAAAGAUGAAUCUGAUCAUCUUCUUCUUGCUGUAAUUAGGUCAACCGACUAUGGAGUUUCUGGAGGUGUAUUUGAGAAGAAUCUUGGUAAUGAAUCUCUGGAUCGAGCUUUGUUCGUGUCGUUUCGUUUGAGAUUCUUCUCCUCUUGACCGUUAUGGGAUGCAUUGAUUCAAGCCAUUAACGACUUUCUUUAAUCCUUCGACCCAUUACAACUACGUUUAAUCAUUCAAUGCAUAUUCCUCUCUUCUCAACCUAAACAGGCUAUGUAAGUACCUACCUGUGGAAUGGGUGAAUAUCAAUCUCCGAACUGCGAUUUCAUUAUCCUGUAAUUGCAUAUAAUUUUUUUCGUAAUUGUUAUGUUUAUACUAACGAAAUCAUUGUAUUUGGAUUUGUAUAUGGGUUACCUAGAAAAAUGGUUUCUUCUGGAGAGAUUCUUUGCUAGGAGAUAAUUCUUCUGAAGAGUAGCAGUGGUGAGUGUUUGUUUUGGCUUACUUUGUAUCAUUAGAGUCCGUUUCUUGAUUUUUUUUUUUUUUUUUGUGUUGUUAGGUUGAUAUUUUAGAUCUCAAGCAUACUGUUAAUUCACCGAUUGAUUCGUGCAUGGUAUGGCGUCUUCUAUAUUCACAUUGAUUUCUUUUCUUUGCAGUGUCUCUUCUGCUGGAAGAAUAUAAAAUUUUAGAAUGCAAACUCUAGCUGCGCCGUACUCUCCAUGUGCACGUACUGCAUAGAAGUGGUUCCUUCUUAUAUGCAUAUGUCCAUAAGGCUGAAUUGUUUUGAGUAUUAGUUCCUGGUUUGAAGGCUGUUUCUUUCAGCUCUGUCAGAAAAUUUUCAGUAAACUUAUCUUGAGUGGUUUAAUCUUACAAACUACUAAUUGUUUUGUGGACCUUAUCUAAAUACAUUUUUCUUUUUAUUGUUUGCUGGUAGGUACUGAAAUGAAUUCAGUUGUGGCGGAAUGAUGAAUAUCACUGCACAAGAAACAGUCCUGCUCAAACAAUGUCAAGGAUUCUUAUCAAGGUACUGUGUUGAGAUGACUGUCUCGGAUGACUCUGCUGUGUUUGUAGGUUUUGCGAUGCAAUGGAGAAAUAUUCCUGCUUCUGCAGUGUCACAAAAUGUGAAGAAUACCCGCAGAACAUGGCCAUUCCACAAUUCCUAAGGAAUAUUGUGGGGGAGGAACUUCACAUUAGACCUCAAGAUUUCUCAGUUCAAUUUUUCAUCUGAGCAACAGUUAUUUACCAUCACACACAAUUUUUUACCGCAACCAGCACCCACCACAUCCUAAUUUUGGUAUUUAGGUCAGUUUACUAUCUUGGCUUUAUCAUUUACAUAUUCAAUACAUAGCAGUGUGAUCUUAACACUGUCGCCUUUACAGAAAGGUCAUGACAACGCAUGCAGUGAUAUCUCAACUCUUGGAGUUCAUAAUGCUAACCUGUGGUGUCAACUACCCUGCAGGCUCUUCUAUUUUAAUUCUCAAAUUAAUAAGUUUUCCAACAACUAUUUGUUUAUGGGUUUUUAAUCAUUUAGUUUUAAACUUUUAAAACAAUCAUUCAGACUCUUGCAAGAAAACUAUGUUCUCUGCUUCAGUAUUAUUGCUAUUGGGCCUAUAAAUUAGAUUGGAUCUUAUUAUUA
Brassica napus (rape) is the source of this 1866-nucleotide long non-coding RNA. RefSeq lists it as uncharacterized. NCBI's taxonomy places the organism in Eukaryota, Viridiplantae, Streptophyta, Magnoliopsida, Brassicales, Brassicaceae. The transcript is spliced from 2 exons. The record is from RefSeq and is a predicted model, not a curated record.